UUCAUUAGUUGCUCCAGAAAACGUGCAAGAUCAUCGUCUUUUACUCUCCAGAAGUCUGACUCACAGCCCAACAGAGAUACAACACUCUCUCAGAAAAGAGGAAGAUCAUCUUCCUUUACCAUCCUUCCUACCUUUCCCCCCUCCCAGACAGUAAAGAAGAAUAACAUAUUCAUGACCUCAGCUCUUCUUCGAAGGAACACUGACA
RNAcentral lists this long non-coding RNA (205 nucleotides) under Apteryx rowi (Okarito brown kiwi). RNAcentral's name for it is "lncRNA (ENSARWG00000012545.1)". The record is from RNAcentral. Lineage: Eukaryota; Metazoa; Chordata; Aves; Apterygiformes; Apterygidae.